UAACGAAUCUUCCGCAAUGGGCGCAAGCCUGACGGAGCAAUGCCGCGUGUGGGAUGAAGCGUCUCUGACGUGUAAACCACUGUCAGGGGUUAGAAACAAUGAUCAACCCCAAAGGAAGUGGCGACUAACUCUGUGCCAGCAGUCGCGGUAAUACAGAGGCCACAAGCGUUAGUCGGAAUCACUGGGCUUAAAGGGUGCGUAGGCUGGUCCGCAAGCGUCUUGUGAAAGCCCUCGGCUCAACCGAGGAACAGCAGGGCGAACUGCGGAUCUUGAGGCAGGUAGGGGUCGCGAGAACAGUAGGUGUAGCGGUGAAAUGCGUAGAUAUCAAGAGGAACACCUGAGGUGAAGACGGGUUGCUGGGCUGACACUGACGCUGAGGCGCGAAAGCCAGGGGAGCAAACGGGAUUAGAUACCCCCGUAGUCCCUGAGCGGGCUGGCAAGGCGCAU
This 447-nucleotide ribosomal RNA is filed under the name uncultured bacterium. Its description in RNAcentral is "bacterial SSU rRNA". It matches the Rfam family "Bacterial small subunit ribosomal RNA", at positions 355 to 825 of the family's 1533-position model. The record is from RNAcentral.